Molecule: unclassified non-coding RNA, 17 nt
Filed under: Mus musculus (house mouse)
Lineage: Eukaryota; Metazoa; Chordata; Mammalia; Rodentia; Muridae
Description: oocyte_clustered_small_RNA12871
Source: RNAcentral
UGUGUGACACUGCUGCU